Non-coding RNA from Morus notabilis, 92 nucleotides. NCBI's taxonomy places the organism in Eukaryota, Viridiplantae, Streptophyta, Magnoliopsida, Rosales, Moraceae. The record is from Rfam.
GUUGGAUCGAUGAUGUUUAACAAUAUACUGCGUUAUCUAUCUGCAAUUUCCUUCAAGGAAUUGAAGAAGACUAUAUGUUACUGAGAUCUGAU